RNAcentral lists this unclassified non-coding RNA (2680 nucleotides) under Hevea brasiliensis (rubber tree). Lineage: Eukaryota; Viridiplantae; Streptophyta; Magnoliopsida; Malpighiales; Euphorbiaceae. The record is from RNAcentral.
AAAGACACCUUGUUAGGGAUGUUCCAGUGCAAAUUCGAAUUUAAGCUGAUCCCAAUAUGGAUAUCAAACACAGAAAACCCAAAAAAAAAAAAGUAGUGAACAUAGCCAUCUAGUGUUACAACUUGCACCUUUAUUAUUCUUACUAUACUAUGGCUGAUGCAUCAACAGAACAUUUAAUUUGUGACGACGAGGGCGGAUAAAUCAGAUAAUAAUCUACCGGGCAUUUUCAUGGACUAAAAUGUUAGCAGGCUUUCCCUGCUGAGCCAAACAGACGCAUCUUUUCAGCAAUCACUGCUUUCAUGGCUUCUUUUGCAGAAGCCAUGACAUUGAUGAGAUCCUUCUUAUUGGGGCUACUCAGUGCAUCCAUAUAAGCCUUGCGCACUUCAGUAUUAACAUUGAACUUUCUGACACCAAGCUUUAUACAUUCCUCUAUUAUUUCCUUUGACAGCCCAGAAGCUCCAUGAAGAACAACAUGCACUCCUUUCUUUGAACACAAGCCAUAGAGGUCCUUCAGCAGAUCAAGUCUAAGAUUUGGACCACUUGGAGGAUAUUUCCCAUGAACAUUUCCGAUGCACACUGCCAAAGCAUCUAUGGCUGUCGCAUCAAUGAAUUCAUGUGCCUGAUUAACAUCAGUCAGCUUUGCUUCAUAGUCUGCUACAGUCAAAUCAUCUUCAGUACCUGACAAUCUUCCCAAUUCAGCUUCUACCAACAUCUUUUUCGAGUGCGCCAAGGAAGAAAUGCACUUCGUAUAGGAAACAUUAUCCUUGAAAGGAAGGUGUGAGCCAUCUACCAUGAGUGAGUCAAAUCCCAUCUCAAGAACUUCCAACAACUCUUGCUUGGAAUUUCCAUGGUCAAAGUGAACUGUUAUAGGAACAGAUGCUUGUUCUGCAGCUGAUAUGCAACAUGCAACGAGUGGAACUCCUCCUUCCUUUAGUGCACUAGGAUGGAUCUGUAAGAUAGCAGGACUAUUUUCCUCCUCUGCUGCAGCAACAACUGCCUCAACUCCUUCCAAAUUGUAGACAUUAAAAGCACCAACAGCGUAGCUUCCCCUCUCAGCUUCCAGUAGGAGUUCCAUAGUUGAUAAUCUGCCAGGAUGAGCCCAGCGUUUCACCACCUCUGCGAGAGCUUUACUGUCGCCAACAUUACCUGGGAAGACAAUAUAAGGAACCUUUGGAUGUCUGCUUUCAGGACCUAGCUGCCAUACCGGAAUACCAGCAAGAGCUUGUCCCACUACUUUAGCACGUUUUGCUUCUAAAGCUUUUGUGGCAAGAUCUGAUGAGGUAAUUCCUCCCUUUGCAAGAAUAUAACGAGGCCUCGUUGUUAUCCUCCUAGCUAUCUCCACCAGUGCUGAGCUUACCUUGAAAUUGAUCUCUAAACUCUCAGAAGGAGUUUUGCCUGUGAUCAGCUCUCUACUGGUCAUUAUGAAAGUAUCUUUAUGAUUUCUAAGGUAAACGUCUGCCAUUUCAGCAGCUCGAUUGAUUUCUUCCUCCCUCGUUUCUGAUGACUCCAUGGCAACUUUAUUUACUGAAAUCUCUAUAGUCUUCAAAACAUGACCAUAUUGUAGUUUUAGUUCUUCAACCUGCUUUGUUGUUUUUGGAACAUAUGAACCCACAACAAUAAGUCCACCAUUUCUUUCUCUACUUAUUCCAAUAUCAUUUGGCAAAAUUGGAGAUUUUUGGAUGAUUCCAACUCGAGUAGAAACAAAACUGGCAGCAGUACGGCACAAAAAGUGUUUUCCUUUUAGUUCUGCCUUUAUCAUUCCAGCGGCAAAUACAGUCAUGUCUCUUUCACUAGCUGCAUUGACUAUACAUGUUGAACCCUUCUGUAAAUUACAGAGAUGUUCACAAACAGCAUCUGGUCCACCAUUUCUUAAAAGCUGGAUGGAGAUUGAUGAAACACUGCUAGCAGGUCUCUGGCCCUUUGUUUUUUCUUCUACCCACUCUCGGAGGUUGGAAGAUUUGUAUCCAAAUGCAGCAUCUUUAGCAAAUUCUGUUUCACCUGCGGGAACAAGCCUAUCAGAAUCUGCAACAUAAUGUGUAUCUCCAAUGGUAUAACGGCCUCCUUGUAAGAAAAAGGGGCAGAUAAUCCAUGCGUCCAUCUCACCCAGUACAGAAACAGCUGCAUCUGCUUCCUCAGGGAAAUGACCUCGUAAGGUUGAAUCACCCCUCAGAACCACUGUGUAGUCUGCUUUUUCCACUGACUUGGCAGCAGAAUCAAUGUUCCUGCAGAUAUCUGCUAUCAAUGCACUAGCCUUCUCAGAGGUCAAUGCUCUGGAAUUAGUCAAAAUGAAAAAACAUUUAGGCCUCUUUUUGAACUCUUCAAUGAGUGACUCAAUGCUCCAUUCUGUCAGGACCUCAAUAUCGUGAACAGUUUGAGUCCCAGUUGGAUCAUCAUCCAGAACAAUUAAAGUCCUCAAACUAUUCUCUGUUAGUGUACGUAUUUCAUUGAUCGGAUCCACUGGCCACUCAGGAGGAAGGGACUGCAAUGCAGAUUCUUUGUUGAGAACAGGAAGUUUGCCUUCAACUUUGACUCCACUCAGCGUCUCAUAAACCUUUACUACAGCAGCAUCAUCCAAUCUGCCCCAUCCAGCAGCAGAACCUGACAGGAAUAACUGGUGUGCAAUGUUUGCAAUAUGAAGCGGCACUCUGCCUGAUGAGCCUUCACGAGAAACAAUGCCCAG